RNAcentral lists this ribosomal RNA (292 nucleotides) under uncultured bacterium. RNAcentral describes it as "partial 16S ribosomal RNA". It matches the Rfam family "Bacterial small subunit ribosomal RNA", at positions 505 to 796 of the family's 1533-position model. The record is from RNAcentral.
GUGUCAGCAGCCGCGGUAAUACGGAGGGUGCAAGCGUUGUUCGGAAUUACUGGGCGUAAAGCGCGCGUAGGCGGCUUUUUAAGUCAGAUGUGAAAGUCCAUGGCUCAACCAUGGAAGUGCAUUUGAUACUGAAAGGCUUGAGUACUGGAGGGGAUGGUGGAAUUCCCGGUGUAGAGGUGAAAUUCGUAGAUAUCGGGAGGAAUACCGGUGGCGAAGGCGACCAUCUGGCCAGAUACUGACGCUGAGGUGCGAAAGCGUGGGGAGCAAACAGGAUUAGAUACCCCUGUAGUCC